GUGCCACUGCAGUUUAAUAACAACAAUGGCUGGAUCCAUUUAGCCGCGGCCAUUUCCCUCAAAUUUUUUAGUGGUCUGCUGUCGCUUACUUCGGUGUCUGUCGCUUUCUGAGUAUACUUCCGGAAAAUUUUCAGAAAACUAGCAAGUAAUGCAGAGGAGACGGCGGUUUCUCUGCUCCCUUGGUUCCAGGCUUCUCUGUCCCUUUGUUCCAGGUUUAACUGUUCCCUUGGUUCCAGGCUUUUCACUUCGCAGCAGACAGACAGCAACUAGGACGAUUAAGUGGGUAGGAACUUCAUCUUUUGGCAUUAUGGAUGGGACGUGAGGUUCUGUAGAUGUGGAAUUGUGGAUAGUCAACUGCGACAGGAGUCAGGACCGUCAUUUUCACCAGUCGCCAUAAUGGUGAAUCCAUCAUUUGUUGACAUUCAGGUUAGGUUGACGAAUUCAAAUUUAGCUGCUGCGUGCUGUCUGCAAGGAAGCAAUCCAAUUGGCUGUCGCUAGGUGGCGCUAGUCAAUCUUCAGGGACUAAAUUCGGCCAUUGUGAUCCUUGACGCAGCAGAAGUGAGGUGCCGGUCGUGACGUUUCCCAAAAUGAAAAGGUGAUUUCAAUACCAAUUUGUUAAAUCAUCUAACUCGGACUUGAGUGCCUGUUCAUUUUGCCGUUCAUUUUGCCGAAAUGUGCCUCGUGUGUCUUGCUGCCUGUACACGUACGUCUCGUCCCAUGCAAAAGCAAACGUUCGCUGUUGGUUACCUACUUACCUUGUUGCAGCCUGAUGGUGUAAGAUGUGAUGAAGACUAAUUGAACUGUUGUAUGCAGCGUGUGAUUCCUGUGUUAUCCAGAAGUAGCUGUGCUGGCAGUCUCCUGAAGCAGCCUGAAGCCUGAAGUUGCCAGUGAUAUCCGGGUUGCUGACUUUAAAUAUUUUUUACUGUUAUCUUUUGUGUUAUUUGCUUUGCAAGUGGUAUCCCGUGUUGCUGACUUUAAAUAUUUUUAUCUGUUUUUAUUUGUGGUUUUGCUCUGCCAGUGAUUUGCUGACUUGAAUUGGUUUCAUCUGUUGUCUUUUGCCUUCUUACUUGUGCAAUGUGCAGUAUACGAUUGUGGCAAUCUGACCCCAUGUCAGAUUUGACAUAGUCGA
Daphnia pulex (common water flea) is the source of this 1129-nucleotide long non-coding RNA. RefSeq lists it as uncharacterized. Lineage: Eukaryota; Metazoa; Arthropoda; Branchiopoda; Diplostraca; Daphniidae. The transcript is spliced from 5 exons. The record is from RefSeq and is a predicted model, not a curated record.